RNAcentral lists this ribosomal RNA (318 nucleotides) under uncultured eukaryote. RNAcentral's name for it is "partial 18S ribosomal RNA". It matches the Rfam family "Eukaryotic small subunit ribosomal RNA", at positions 1470 to 1796 of the family's 1831-position model. The record is from RNAcentral.
CCCUUAGAUGUUCUGGGCAGCACGCGCGCUACAAUGGUCUUCGCAAACGGAUGCAUUCUCGAAGGAGAAUGCCAAUCUUGGAAUCUAUGCCUUGGUCGGGACAGUUGCUUGCAAUUUUUCGACUCGAACCAGGAAUUCCUUGUAAUCGUGAUUCAUCACAUCACGAUGAAUACGUCCCUGCCCUUUGUACACACCGCCCGUCGCUCCACCGAUCGAAGAGUUAGGUGAAUUGUUUUGAUCGAUAAGAUUUGACUAUGGUCAACUCUCGUUGUGAAAUUCUGUGAAUCUGACUGUUUAGAGGAAGGAAAAGUCGUAACA